CUACGCAUAAGGGGCGUCUUCGUAUUUUUAAGCGUUAUGGGUUAAAAUUACAUCCGUUGUAUUCAGCGCGUCU
RNAcentral lists this transfer RNA (73 nucleotides) under Corynebacterium pseudotuberculosis. RNAcentral describes it as "tRNA-Arg". Lineage: Bacteria; Bacillati; Actinomycetota; Actinomycetes; Mycobacteriales; Corynebacteriaceae. The record is from RNAcentral.